This 292-nucleotide ribosomal RNA is filed under the name uncultured bacterium. RNAcentral describes it as "partial 16S ribosomal RNA". It matches the Rfam family "Bacterial small subunit ribosomal RNA", at positions 505 to 796 of the family's 1533-position model. The record is from RNAcentral.
GUGCCAGCAGCCGCGGUAAAACGUAGGUACCGAGCGUUAUCCGGAUUUACUGGGCGUAAAGCGCGUUCAGGCGGCCGCGCAAGUCGGGCAUGAAAUCUCUCGGCUCAACCGGGAGAGGCUGUCCGAUACUGCGUGGCUUGAGGGCAGUAGAGGGUGGUGGAAUUCCGGGUGUAGUGGUGAAAUGCGUAGAGAUCCGGAGGAACACCAGUGGCGAAGGCGGCCACCUGGACUGCCCCUGACGCUGAAACGCGAAAGCUAGGGGAGCGAACGGGAUUAGAAACCCCCGUAGUCC